UCUGCUCCCUGAUCCACGCUUCAGACCUUGGCUGCCCCUGUAGUUCUUUGUUGCCUUUCCGUGUUCAGUGUAGCAGGAGAGAUAUUUUAGGCCAACCUCCCUGACCUCCGUUUCUUUGAGGGUGACACGUCUGGACUUUCAGAUGUUAAGCCAGCCUAGGGAGGGCCAGACCCAGGGUUGCCAGGCAGUGUUCUGCAGGUCUUCACUCCGAGGAUGACUCCAAUCCAUCCUAGGACGCUCUGAAAAGCCUCCUGCUGGCCUGUCAGUUCUGGUGGCUCCAGUGCUGUCCCUGGAAACUCUUGUAAUUGGCUCCUGAGCCCUCUGACAUCAAUGGCUGCUAUGCCACUCUCAGCUGUAGGUGUCUCCUGCCAUUCUCUUCUCCAAGUGUCUCUGGAGCUCUGGAAAUAGCCGUCUCUGUGAGGAACGUUUCCCUGCUCCACAUGGAAAAACAGUUUCACUUUGACCUGAUUCUGAUCCUGUGGAUCCCUGGAGAUGCUCUGGGAACAGGAAGCUCCAUCAAAGCUCCAUCUCCUCCCUGUUCCCUGCAUCCCUCUGAGGCCCAAGGGAUUGGAGAGCGUCUCUAGUCUGAAGGUCUCUGGUCUCUAGCAGGAAAAUUGGUUAAAAUAAGAAAAAAAAUCCAAACAGGAAUAAAGUAAUGAG
Molecule: long non-coding RNA, 660 nt
Organism: Marmota monax (woodchuck)
Lineage: Eukaryota; Metazoa; Chordata; Mammalia; Rodentia; Sciuridae
Exons: 4
Source: RefSeq, a predicted model, not a curated record